ACUGAUGUGUUUUGUGUAAAAAAUAAUGAAGUGAAGUUUGUUUGUUUUUGUUUUUCUAUUUUUUUUUUUUAUAUAGUCUUUUUAACGUGCCCAGUUGCCCGGCAAUUGUCAGAACGAUUUUUGCGAGCACAGUCAAUUGCGGUCACAGCCUCUCCAAAGUUUGUUAGCAAAAUUAUUUGUAAAAUGAAAAAUCAGAAAUGUUGCAGACUACAUUGCGAUGAUGAUCAUAAUAUUUAUACUUCAAGUAGCAAAACAUUAAACAAAGGAAUAUUGACGUUAGAUAACAAAUGGCAAAGUAACAGAAGAUAUAAGAAGAGAAGAAAUAAGAAGUACGGACAAAAUAGAAAUCGAGUUGGACCGGAUCAGUAUGUAUUUUAUUCAGUAAUUAACAGUGAUAUUAUUAAGGAGUCACGAAUAGCAGCAACUUUGAUAGCAUGUAGUAUACUUAUGCUACACAAGAAAUUAGAAACAGAUAAGGCAAAAAAACAAUAUAUUAAAGAAUGGGAGAAAUCAGGAAAGAACAUAAUUAUUUUGCGAGGCUACGAUAACAAACAUUUAAAAUAUCUCGAAAAAGAAACGGGAUAUACGGCCCUCGGUAAUCAAGCUAUCCAGUUAUAUCACAGCCAGAUAAUGCUGGUAUUAUCGGUGUUCGGACGGAAGGGCGACAUUGAGGAAAUCUUCGACGGAAUUCCGGUUUUAGAAUAGUCCUGUCAUUACGAAGAUUAUCGUUGCGACACAAGCAGAAGGAGAACGGAGUUAUCCUAAUACCCCACGGCAGCGGAUAAAGAGAGGAUUUACCGAUAGCGCUUUUGCAGAAACGAAUGCGAUAUCCAACCACCAGCCGGUCGUUGAAAGUUUCAGAAGGAGGUCGUUGAGGGUUCGAAGAGACGUCGAGGUUUUAUUACCACCCCACUACGUUACACGCCGCGACCACAGAGGGGCGUCGGAGGAGAACGACUGGC
Long non-coding RNA from Pseudomyrmex gracilis, 962 nucleotides. RefSeq lists it as uncharacterized. NCBI's taxonomy places the organism in Eukaryota, Metazoa, Arthropoda, Insecta, Hymenoptera, Formicidae. The record is from RefSeq and is a predicted model, not a curated record. The transcript has 6 exons.